UACGGAGGGUGCGAGCGUUAUCCGGAAUUACUGGGUUUAAAGGGUGCGUAGGCGGCUUUGUAAGUCAGGAGUGAAAGUUUGCGGCUCAACCGUAAAAUUGCUUCUGAUACUGCAUGGCUAGAAUUAGGAUGAGGUCAGCGGAAUGUGGCAUGUAGCGGUGAAAUGCAUAGAUAUGCCAUAGAACACCAAUUGCGAGGGCAGCUGACUAGACCUGGAUUGACGCUGAGGCACGAAAGCGUGGGGAGCGAACAGG
Molecule: ribosomal RNA, 253 nt
Filed under: uncultured bacterium
Lineage: Bacteria
Description: partial 16S ribosomal RNA
Rfam family: Bacterial small subunit ribosomal RNA
Source: RNAcentral